UUAAGAGGAAAGGCCUCCAAGACGUUGGGUCUACAUCUCUGAGUUUCUUUCUCCAGUCUACUAUAUCCCUGUAAUUCUUCACAGCCCUGUUCAUUCUCCAUGCCUUCAAACGAUCUCUUUUUUUUUUCAAAUAGAUUUUUUAAAUAUUUAAAAAUAUUUUCUAGGUUUCCUAGUUGUGUUCCAGCAAGAGGUUGGUCUGAAUUAGAUAGUCUGCUAUUCCAGAAGUGUAACCUUUUGCUUGUACCCCAUAAAGAGUUAUUUCUCCCCUUGCCCCUUUUUCUUAGACUAAGCCCAUAAAAUUGAAUUUGUGUCAAUUAAAUGUGUGUGUGAUGCAACUCCAA
Long non-coding RNA from Homo sapiens (human), 341 nucleotides. The record is from Ensembl. NCBI's taxonomy places the organism in Eukaryota, Metazoa, Chordata, Mammalia, Primates, Hominidae.